Molecule: long non-coding RNA, 247 nt
Organism: Dermacentor silvarum
Lineage: Eukaryota; Metazoa; Arthropoda; Arachnida; Ixodida; Ixodidae
Exons: 3
Source: RefSeq, a predicted model, not a curated record
GGGAAAGGAUGAGUGGUUCGGGGCAAAAACGUUAAUGGAAGACCUUGCUGAUAACACUGGCCUUCAGACGGCUUUCAACGCAUAUAAGAAAGUACUUGAAGAAGAAUGUGAAGGGAUAGACACUCGUCUAGCAGGUCUGGACAACUUGACCGGAUUGCAGCUGUUCUUCGUGUCGAAUGCUAGGACUAUGUGCAAAAUAGCAGACAACGAUACCCUCUUGCUAGGGAUAUUGAACGGACCACACAGC